RNAcentral lists this small RNA (27 nucleotides) under Bombyx mori (domestic silkworm). Its description in RNAcentral is "ovarian small RNA-10110". Lineage: Eukaryota; Metazoa; Arthropoda; Insecta; Lepidoptera; Bombycidae. The record is from RNAcentral.
AAAUACGACAACCCGCGCCUGAGCAUG